RNAcentral lists this ribosomal RNA (497 nucleotides) under uncultured bacterium. RNAcentral's name for it is "partial 16S ribosomal RNA". It matches the Rfam family "Bacterial small subunit ribosomal RNA", at positions 28 to 507 of the family's 1533-position model. The record is from RNAcentral.
GAUGAACGCUGGCGGCGUGCCUAAUACAUGCAAGUCGAGCGAACGGACGAGAAGCUUGCUUCUCUGAUGUUAGCGGCGGACGGGUGAGUAACACGUGGAUAACCUACCUAUAAGACUGGGAUAACUUCGGGAAACCGGAGCUAAUACCGGAUAAUAUUUUGAACCGCAUGGUUCAAAAGUGAAAGACGGUCUUGCUGUCACUUAUAGAUGGAUCCGCGCUGCAUUAGCUAGUUGGUAAGGUAACGGCUUACCAAGGCAACGAUGCAUAGCCGACCUGAGAGGGGGAUCGGCCACACUGGAACUGAAACACGCUCCAGACUCCUACGGGAGGCAGCAGAAGGGAAUCUUCGGCAAGGGGCGAAAGCCUGACGGAGCAACGCCGCGUGAGUGAUGAAGGUCUUCGGAUCGUAAAACUCUGUUAUUAGGGAAGAACAUAUGUGUAAGUAACUGUGCACAUCUUGACGGUACCUAAUCAGAAAGCCACGGCUAACUACGUG